This 253-nucleotide ribosomal RNA is filed under the name uncultured bacterium. RNAcentral describes it as "partial 16S ribosomal RNA". It matches the Rfam family "Bacterial small subunit ribosomal RNA", at positions 524 to 776 of the family's 1533-position model. The record is from RNAcentral.
UACGUAGGUGGCAAGCGAUACUCGGAAUCACUAGGCGUAAAGCGCAGGUAGGCGGUUCGGUAAGUCUUUUGUGAAAGCUCCCGGCUCAACUGGGAGAGGUCAAGGGAAACUACCGGACUAGAGUGUGGUAGGGGAUACUGGAAUUCCUGGUGUAGCGGUGAAAUGCGUAGAUAUCAGGAGGAAUACCUAUGGCGAAAGCAGGUAUCUGGGCCAUCACUGACGCUGAGCUGCGAAAGCUAGGGGAGCAAACAGG